This 332-nucleotide long non-coding RNA is filed under the name Gossypium barbadense (sea-island cotton). RNAcentral describes it as "long non-coding RNA (GBAR_LNC018837)". The record is from RNAcentral. Lineage: Eukaryota; Viridiplantae; Streptophyta; Magnoliopsida; Malvales; Malvaceae.
GAAUAAUAUCGAUAAUAAAAGAAAAAAAGAAAACAAGCAUUCUCACUCCAGGGGAACAUCGACAUCGCCAUCGUCGAUUUCCUGCUGCAAAUCCUUGGGGUCUUUGCCAUCAACCGUACAUCCCACGGAGACGCAGGUGCCCAGAAUCUCCUUCACCGUACCUCUUAAGUCCUUAGCCAUCGACCUCGGCCUCAUUACUUUAGCAAUCUCGAUGACGUCAUCAAGGCCGAUGUUCCCAUUAUGCUUGAUGUUUUUGGUCUUCUUCCUAUCCCUCUCAGGCUCCUUCAAAGCCUUGAUCACCAGCGCCGCCGCCGACGGGACAACCGUGACUU